Molecule: ribosomal RNA, 440 nt
Filed under: uncultured bacterium
Lineage: Bacteria
Description: partial 16S ribosomal RNA
Rfam family: Bacterial small subunit ribosomal RNA
Source: RNAcentral
CCUACGGGAGGCAGCAGUGGGGAAUAUUGCACAAUGGGGGAAACCCUGAUGCAGCGACGCCGCGUGAGUGAAGAAGUAAUUCGUUAUGUAAAGCUCUAUCAGCAGGGAAGAAAAUGACGGUACCUGAGUCAGAAGCCCCGGCUAACUACGUGCCAGCAGCCGCGGUAAUACGUAGGGGGCAAGCGUUAUCCGGAUUUACUGGGUGUAAAGGGAGCGUAGACGGCAGUGCAAGUCUGGAGUGAAAGGCGGGGGCUCAACCCCCGGACUGCUCUGGAAACUGUACGGCUGGAGUGCAGGAGAGGUAAGUGGAAUUCCUAGUGUAGCGGUGAAAUGCGUAGAUAUUAGGAGGAACACCAGGGGCGAAGGCGGCUUACUGGACUGUAACUGACGUUGAGGCUCGAAAGCGUGGGGAGCAAACAGGAUUAGAUACCCCAGUAGUC